Molecule: transfer RNA, 434 nt
Filed under: uncultured Alphaproteobacteria bacterium
Lineage: Bacteria; Pseudomonadati; Pseudomonadota; Alphaproteobacteria
Description: partial 16S-23S ribosomal RNA intergenic spacer
Rfam family: tRNA (bases 162-236)
Source: RNAcentral
CCUCCUUUCUAAGGAAUUUGGCGUUAGGAUACAUUCCGUAUCCCAAUUCCAGUUCACUUAACAUAGAUGCCGGCACGUCGCCGUCGGCGUAUCCCUUCCAUCACGAAUGCCGAAUGCGGAGACGGUGUACGCUCUCUCCACCAGUUGGUUACUACCAGAAUGGGCCUGUAGCUCAGCUUGGUUAGAGCGCACGCCUGAUAAGCGUGAGGUCGGUAGUUCAAGUCUACCCAGGCCCACCAUUUCGCGACCGAUGUUAGCCACGUCCUUAUUAUCGAGGCACACCGGACACGGGGGUGUAGCUCAGUUGGGAGAGCGCCUGCUUUGCAAGCAGGAGGUCAUCGGUUCGAUUCCGUUCACCUCCACCAAUUCUCCGGAAUUUUUAGAAGUUCUGUUGAAGAUUUAGGCGGUAGAUCAAGGCAUUCGUGGGGAAAUAU